GGAGGGAAUUUCCGUCCGGUGACGGGCGCGGGCUUCAAACCCGUCGAGGGGCGCGUGGCGUGCCUGGUGGGUUCGACUCCCACUUCCUUCCGCCA
This 95-nucleotide transfer RNA is filed under the name Rhodospirillaceae bacterium. Its description in RNAcentral is "tRNA-Sec". It matches the Rfam family "Selenocysteine transfer RNA". The record is from RNAcentral. Lineage: Bacteria; Pseudomonadati; Pseudomonadota; Alphaproteobacteria; Rhodospirillales; Rhodospirillaceae.